GCGACCUCGGUGCCAGCGGCGGCGGUCAGACGGAGGAUCCAAGGGUGAGCCGGAAGUACUGGGCGUAAAGAUUUGCGGAGGUGGCAUGGGAAGCUAGUAGUGAAAGCGUUCGGCUCAACCGAAUAAACAGUACACGAACUGCCAAGCUAGAGGAUGAGAGAGGUAGCUGGAAUUCCUAGUGUAGGGGUAAAAUCCGUUGAUAUUAGGAGGAACACCGAUGGCUUAAGCAGGCUACUGGCUCAUUCCUGACACUCAGGCACGAAAGCGUGGGGAGCAAACGGGAUUAGAUACCCUGUAGUC
RNAcentral lists this ribosomal RNA (300 nucleotides) under uncultured Ignisphaera sp. RNAcentral's name for it is "bacterial SSU rRNA". It matches the Rfam family "Bacterial small subunit ribosomal RNA", at positions 496 to 795 of the family's 1533-position model. Lineage: Archaea; Thermoproteati; Thermoproteota; Thermoprotei; Desulfurococcales; Desulfurococcaceae. The record is from RNAcentral.